Molecule: transfer RNA, 72 nt
Filed under: Heterocephalus glaber (naked mole-rat)
Lineage: Eukaryota; Metazoa; Chordata; Mammalia; Rodentia; Bathyergidae
Rfam family: tRNA
About the family: Transfer RNA (tRNA) molecules are approximately 80 nucleotides in length. Their secondary structure includes four short double-helical elements and three loops (D, anti-codon, and T loops).
Source: Rfam by way of RNAcentral
AGGUGUGUAGCUCAGUGGUAGAGUGUAUGCUUAGCGUGCCUGAGACCCUGGGUUCCACUCCCAGUGUCCCCA